This is a long non-coding RNA of Sander lucioperca (pikeperch), 313 nucleotides long. RefSeq lists it as uncharacterized. The transcript has 2 exons. Lineage: Eukaryota; Metazoa; Chordata; Actinopteri; Perciformes; Percidae. The record is from RefSeq and is a predicted model, not a curated record.
UGCAGUCUUUCAUUCUGAUUCAGAACUUGGUAUCGGUGCCCAGUGUCUGCUGCUGAACAAUCCUGGAAUCUAUUGGCUGCUGACUGAGGCGGAGCUAGUGAGCCAAAUGACAGAGAGAGAGAGAGAGAGAGAGAGAGAGAGAGAGAGAGAGAGAGAGAGAGAGAAGGUUUCUAAUGCAAAUCCCAGAUAAUUUACCAAGUAGAAAAAUCAGAUAUUCAUCAACAACAGAACAGACAAUAUUAUUAAAAGACUCCAAAGCAUCCAAAUCUCCAAUGUGUUUAUAAAAUGUGAAUUACAGCCAGAGUCUGGCCCU